GACGAACGCUGGCGGCGUGCCUAACACAUGCAAGUCGAGCGGAGAUGUACUGAAGAUUUAUCGGAUGUACAUCUUAGCGGCGGACGGGUGAGUAACGCGUGGGCAACCUGCCUUCCACUGGGGGAUAACACAGGGAAACCUGUGCUAAUACCGCAUGACAUCACAUAGGGCAUCCUGUGUGAUCAAAGGAGUGAUCCGGUGGAAGAUGGGCCCGCGUCCGAUUAGCUAGUUGGUGAGGUAACGGCUCACCAAGGCGACGAUCGGUAGCCGGACUGAGAGGUUGGCCGGCCACAUUGGGACUGAGACACGGCCCAGACUCCUACGGGAGGCAGCAGUGGGGAAUAUUGCGCAAUGGGGGGAACCCUGACGCAGCGACGCCGCGUGAAGGAAGAAGGCCUCGGUUGUAACUUACUUGUAUGAGGACGAAGGAAGUAGACGGUACCUCAAAACAAGACACGGACAACUAACGUGCCAGCAGCGCGGUAAACGACUACGUAGAC
This 500-nucleotide ribosomal RNA is filed under the name uncultured bacterium. Its description in RNAcentral is "bacterial SSU rRNA". It matches the Rfam family "Bacterial small subunit ribosomal RNA", at positions 28 to 535 of the family's 1533-position model. The record is from RNAcentral.